RNAcentral lists this unclassified non-coding RNA (308 nucleotides) under plant metagenome. Its description in RNAcentral is "partial contains 5.8S ribosomal RNA, internal transcribed spacer 2, and large subunit ribosomal RNA". The stretch from base 1 to 105 matches the Rfam family "5.8S ribosomal RNA", at positions 50 to 154 of the family's 154-position model. The record is from RNAcentral.
GAAAUGCGAUAAGUAGUGUGAAUUGCAGAAUUCAGUGAAUCAUCGAAUCUUUGAACGCACAUUGCGCCCUUUGGUAUUCCAAAGGGUAUGCCUGUUCGAGCGUCAUUUGUACCCUCAAGCUUUGCUUGGUGUUGGGCGUCUUGUCUCUAGCUUUGCUGGAGACUCGCCUUAAAGUAAUUGGCAGCCGGCCUACUGGUUUCGGAGCGCAGCACAAGUCGCACUCUCUAUCAGCAAAGGUCUAGCAUCCAUUAAGCCUUUUUUUCAACUUUUGACCUCGGAUCAGGUAGGGAUACCCGCUGAACUUAAGC